This 265-nucleotide long non-coding RNA is filed under the name Lathyrus oleraceus (garden pea). RNAcentral describes it as "Pisum sativum (pea) long non-coding RNA (PSAT_LNC014922)". Lineage: Eukaryota; Viridiplantae; Streptophyta; Magnoliopsida; Fabales; Fabaceae. The record is from RNAcentral.
UUAAAGGAUGCAAAACUUCUUAAUUGUUCACCUCUUGAGAUCAUAUGUAGAUGAUCCAAGUGAUUCCUUUGGAAAAGGCAACAAGCAAGUAACAGAUAAACAAUAUAUCAGGCAAAGCCAACAUAAAUGGAAACCAGAUGCCAAUCAAUGGACUUACACCAAUCUCACAAAACAAAAAUGGAUAUCGGAUGCCAAUCAAUGGACUUACACCAAUCUCACAAAACAAAACAUGGAUACCAGAUGCCAAUCAAUGGACUUACACUAG